CCUAUGUCUUAAAACGGAUAUCUAUGUGAAGUUAUAAGACCAUAUGUAGAGGCUAACACCUGUAUAAUGCCGAAAGGUUAAAGAAGUUGGUGACCUGAUGAUAAGUGAAUCAUCUACUAAAACCCCAAUGAACGUCAGUCGUAAAUAUAAUAGUUCGAAAGUAGUGAAAUUUUUCAUCGGAUAAAUUCUGAUUCACACAAAAAACAUAAGG
Molecule: non-coding RNA, 211 nt
Filed under: Gossypium arboreum
Lineage: Eukaryota; Viridiplantae; Streptophyta; Magnoliopsida; Malvales; Malvaceae
Source: Rfam by way of RNAcentral